Long non-coding RNA from Physeter macrocephalus (sperm whale), 1085 nucleotides. RefSeq lists it as uncharacterized. Lineage: Eukaryota; Metazoa; Chordata; Mammalia; Artiodactyla; Physeteridae. The transcript has 4 exons. The record is from RefSeq and is a predicted model, not a curated record.
AGCUGUGGAGUCCACAGCUUGGCUUUGGUGAGCAAAACUAUGCCCUGAAUUGACAGACAGGAAAUACCCUUUGUUAGGAGGACUGGAGAACGAUGCCCAGAUACCUUGGCCACUACUGCCAUCUCCUGUUCAGAGUGGCUCACCCAGAACUGCCUUUACACGCGUUUGCCGUAAGUUCAAGUGUCAUACCCAGGCCAAACUGAUUCCAGGUGAGAGUCAGGAAUAUUCCCCUAUGCAUUUGAGCAUCCCUGGCAACCUGUUCUGGAAGCAGCAUCUUUUGGUGGCCAGUGUUAGAAGGUAGUGUGAACAGGAUUAAGGAAGUGAAGACUGUUGUUUGCAGGAAGAGGGAACUGGAAAGAAGAGGUCUCUGUGAGGUGGAGACGUGGCCAAAGAUGGAGGAAAAGAAGACGGCAAGGUGCAUCUACUCUGAGUGUCCUGCAUGAACCACCACUCUGAAACAGAAACCUCUGUGCAGGCCAUGUGCAAGAGAAUCAAAGGAACAUAGAAAAUCGGAUCCUCUUCUGAUUUCAAGAGGGGUCAUCAAAGAAGCCUCAGAUGAAGCUGACUUUUCCAGAUAAAAAGUUAUGCGUAUCCUUGUUGUAUUAUAUAUCUCACCAUCCACCAAGGCUUGGAAAUAACUCACAGCUGCCAUCUGCAAGCUGGAGACCCAGGAAAACUGGUGGUGUAAAUCAGAUGGAGUCCCAAGGCCUGAGAACCAUGGAAGCCCAGGGCAGAAGAUAGAUGCCCCAGCUCAAGCAACUGGACUUGCCUCAUGGGUGUGUCGUGGUGGAAAUAAAAGUGUAAAGGCAAUAAUGCCAAAUGAUGACGCUCAACCCUGAAACAGGCAGAGUUCCCAAGUGAAUAAAAAUGGAAAGUGUUCAAAAGAAGCCACGAAAUGGCAGGAGUUUAUAGAAAUAUUCUGUUACUACAUGGCCAUAGAAUUGUUACUGUCCAUCUUAGAGAAGAGAAAGCUGAAGAAAGUCUUAGGAUCUAUAUUUAAUUCCACGAAGAGCUAUUUAAUUCAAGACCCACCAGGCACAGCUGCAGAUACCUCCAUGAUGCCUUUGAUGAUCAACACUGGCUUC